Molecule: unclassified non-coding RNA, 389 nt
Filed under: Melitaea cinxia (Glanville fritillary)
Lineage: Eukaryota; Metazoa; Arthropoda; Insecta; Lepidoptera; Nymphalidae
Description: misc RNA ENSMCXG00005007031.1
Source: RNAcentral
GUGGAAUUAUUUAUACUGUAUUAUUUGUAAAGGUCAUACGUUUUAAAGAUAAAUGUGUUAUUUUUAAUAUGUUUAUUUUAGUGUUAACAUGGGGAAGCGCUAUUUACGCACUAGCCUCACCACCGAAGCGAUGGGAGAGUGGAGCUCCCAGCCGACUGCCAGCCUAUCCACCAAAAUCUCAUCUGUUUCCGUCAGCACUAAAAUUGGUCGCCAUGGGAUCGCUUGCGCAUACUACCACAGCAAGAGGCCUUACACCGAUAGACAUCUCGGCAUGCCCCUACCAAAAAGAUAGUAAAGUUACAAGAAAAAUACUCAUCAGCAUAUUGUUCGCGACUGCAACAUUCACCUGAUAAAUUUCAGUUAUAUAAUAAAACAUCUUUUAUGUCAUA